GAGAAGCAAGGAACUUAUUUCACGGUAUCGGCAGUUGAGGAGUAAAUCUUAGCUCGACCUUACCACAAUGACCCUUCUUGUGACAGUAUUUCUGGUUCUGUGCCUGGAAGUGUUUCUCGUCCUUUGUCAGAACAGCACAAAUGAGACGACUACGAACGGGUCCGACGUCCCCACUGAUGGCGCACACAGUGUCGUAUUCACAGGAAUUGUCAUAGCAACGGCGACAAUACUUGCUCGCAUCGUCAAUUAAGAGUGCUUACAGGUGGUUUGUUGUGGAAGAAUGCGGCUGCCAUCUUGCUGUUCCAUCCACUGCCACUCCCCUCUCUGCCAUCCGGGUCCUACUGGCUCUUCUAGAGCCCACGGACAUUCUCAGCUUCUCUCAUUUCGGUAUAAAGAAAGAAACAUGACUCAUUUCCAUAUCUGGUAGUCGUUCGAUGUAAGAAAACUAUCUGUAGCCAAUCAUUCAUCAGUAUGCAAACUGCGCAUCCUUUGUAUAAGUAAUGUGAUGUGUUUCAGUUUUAUUUGUAUGUAUACAUUUGCCGCAUCCCAUAACUAUCUGGAAUAAAACAUUCCAUUUGUAUACUA
This is a long non-coding RNA of Haliotis rubra (blacklip abalone), 585 nucleotides long. RefSeq lists it as uncharacterized. The transcript has 3 exons. The record is from RefSeq and is a predicted model, not a curated record. Lineage: Eukaryota; Metazoa; Mollusca; Gastropoda; Lepetellida; Haliotidae.